This 869-nucleotide ribosomal RNA is filed under the name uncultured Clostridium sp. Its description in RNAcentral is "bacterial SSU rRNA". It matches the Rfam family "Bacterial small subunit ribosomal RNA", at positions 19 to 887 of the family's 1533-position model. Lineage: Bacteria; Bacillati; Bacillota; Clostridia; Eubacteriales; Clostridiaceae. The record is from RNAcentral.
CUGGCUCAGGAUGAACGCUGGCGGCGUGCUUAACACAUGCAAGUCGAGCGAAGCACUUUUAAGGAAGUUUUCGGAUGGAAUUAAAAGUGACUGAGCGGCGGACGGGUGAGUAACGCGUGGGUAACCUGCCUCAUACAGGGGGAUAACAGUUGGAAACGACUGCUAAUACCGCAUAAGCGCACAGUGCUGCAUGGCACAGUGUGAAAAACUCCGGUGGUAUGAGAUGGACCCGCGUCUGAUUAGGUAGUUGGUGAGGUAACGGCCCACCAAGCCGACGAUCAGUAGCCGACCUGAGAGGGUGACCGGCCACAUUGGGACUGAGACACGGCCCAAACUCUUACGGGAGGCAGCAAUGGGGAAUAUUGGACAACGGGGGAAUCCCUGAUCCAGUGACGCCGCUAGAGUGAAGAAGUAUUUCGGUAGGUAAAACUUUAUCAGCAGGGAAGAAAAUGACGGUACUUGACUAAGAAGCCCCGGCUAAUUACUUGCCAGCAGCCGCGGUAAUACUUAGGGGGCAACCGUUAUCCGGAUUUAUUGGGGGUAAAGGGGGGGUAGCCGGCGAUUCAAUUCGGGAGUGAAAGCCCGGGGUUCAACCCCGGGACUGCUUUGGAAACUGUGUUGCUGGAGUCCAGGAGAGGUAAGUGGAAUUCCUAGUGAGCGGUGAAAUGCGUAGAUAUUAGGAGGAACACCAGUGGCGAAGGCGGCUUACUGGACGGUAACUGACGUUGAGGCUGGAAGGCUUGGGGAGCAACCAGGAUUAGUUACCCUGGUAGUCCACCCCGUAAACGAUGAUUAUUAGUUGUUGGGGAGCUAAAGCUCUUCAGUGCCGCAGCUAACGCAAUAAGCUAUCCCCCCUGGAUACUCCAUCC